GUACGUCACGCAUCACGUGAUCAAUUUUGGCGCAAAAUGUAUCACGAGCGCAGUGAAUGUCGGGAGUUAAUCGAGAAUGCCGAAAGUGUAACGACGGACAUUGCCUGGUAUCAAUGAGAAUAUUCAAUGAGCAACGGAACGACCUGACGAGAAAUUGACGGCGAGAACAUAUUUCUCUCAACCGAAACAGUGCACAAUUAGGAAUCGUCAAGUGGAUCUUGUAAUUAAUUAAAAUUGUUUGAUAUCCAUGCGAAUGUUCAAUGAUCAACGGAGCGACCUGACGAGAAAUUGGCG
This is a non-coding RNA of Nylanderia fulva, 294 nucleotides long. Lineage: Eukaryota; Metazoa; Arthropoda; Insecta; Hymenoptera; Formicidae. The record is from RefSeq and is a predicted model, not a curated record.